RNAcentral lists this ribosomal RNA (2290 nucleotides) under Bifidobacterium catenulatum. RNAcentral's name for it is "23S ribosomal RNA". It matches the Rfam family "Bacterial large subunit ribosomal RNA", at positions 1 to 2148 of the family's 2925-position model. The record is from RNAcentral. Lineage: Bacteria; Bacillati; Actinomycetota; Actinomycetes; Bifidobacteriales; Bifidobacteriaceae.
UGCCGCCCUGAAGGGCGUAUGGUGGAUGCCUUGGCAGACAGUACCGAUGAAGGACGUUUGAGGAUGCGAUAAGCCUCGGGGAGCCUCCAACAUGGCUUCGAUCCGAGGAUUUCCGAAUGGGGCAACCCGCCGGCCGUCAUGGGCCGGCACGGAACCUUGUUGUUCCGGGGGUACGCAGGGAAGUGAAACAUCUCAGUACCUGCAGGAAGGGAUACUCCGUGAGUAGUGGCGAGCGAAAGCGGAUCAGACCAAACCAUGGGCGCGUGAUACCCGUCGGGGGUUGCGUCCGUGGUGUUGAGGGAGCGUGUGUCCCGGUUCCGACGGACCGGGCGGGAGUCAUAAAACGGCUUGCCAGGGGAACAGGCUUGAAGGCCUGGCCGCAGAGGGUGCCAGCCCCGUACCUGGAAGCUUGCCGUCUUCCGAUCAUGCGUCCCAAGUAGCGCGGGCCUCGUGGAAUCCCGUGUGAAUCCGCCCCGACCGUGGGGUAAGUCUAAGCAUACCUGUCUGACCGAUAGCGUACCAGUACCGUGAGGGAAAGGUGAAAAGCACCCCGGGAGGGGAGUGAAAGAGUUCCUGAAACCGUGCGCCUACAAUCCGUCGGAGCCUUCUUUGUGGGGUGACGGCGUGCCUAUCGAAAAAUGAGUCUGCGAGUCAGUGGUGCGUGGCGAGGCUAACCCGUCGUGGGGGAGCCGUAGCGAAGGCGAGUCUCAAAAGGCGUUUUGAGUCGCGUGCCCUGGACCCGAAGCGGGAUGAUCUAGCCCUGGGCAGGUUGAAGCGCGGGUAAGACCGCGUGGAGGACCGAACCCACCUGGGUUGAAAACCGGGGGGAUGACCUGGGGCUAGGGGUGAAAGGCCAAUCAAAUUCCGUGAUAGCUGGUUCUCUCCGAAAUGCAUUUAGGUGCAGCGUCGGUUGAUUGCAUCGCGGGGGUAGAGCUACUGGAUGCUUGCGGGCCCGUGUCGGGUACCAAUAGCAGCCAAACUCCGAAUACCGUGGAUGUGUAUUCCGGCAGUGAGUCGGCGGGGGAUAAGCUCCGUCGUCGAGAGGGAGACAGCCCAGAUCGUCGUCUAAGGUCCCGAAGCGUGUGCUAAGUGGGAAAGGAUGUGGAGUCGCAUAGACAGCCAGGAGGUUGGCUCAGAAGCAGCCAUCCUUGAAAGAGUGCGUAACAGCUCACUGGUCUAGUGGUUCCGCGCCGACAAUGUAGCGGGGCUCAAGCACACCACCGAAGACGCGGCAACAGUUUUUGCUGUUGGGUAGGAGAGCGUCCCGCGUGGGGCGAAGCGGCCGUGGAAACGUGCCGUGGACCGCGCGGGAGCGAGAAUGCAGACAUGAGUAGCGAGAGACGGGUGAGGAUCCCGUCCGCUGGAUGACCAAGGGUUCCGGGGCCACGUUCGUCGUCCCCGGGUGAGUCGGGUCCUAAGGCGAGGCCGACAGGCGUAGUCGAAUGGAUGAACGGGUGGAUAUUCCCGUACCGGCAGCGAACCGCAAGAGCCGAACGGAUGAGUACUAACCUCCGGUCGCGUGGCGUCGUUCCCUUCGGGGUUCGGUGUCCGCGAUUGUUGGGAGCGUAGUCCUGGUAGGUUAGCGCACAGGGGUGACACGGAAUGGGAGCCGGCCGCGGAGGUGGUUUUCCGUGGUCAAGCACGCAGCCCGUCCCAUAGGCAAAUCCGUGGGACAUGUAGGGUGAGGUGCGAUGAUGGGCGCCUUUUGGCGCGAUAUCCGGUGGUCCAGGCCGUCGAGAAAAGCCUCGGCGCGAGGGGCGUUGCCGCCCGUACCCCAAACCGACACUGGUGGUCAGGUAGAGAAUACCAAGGCGAUCGAGCGAAUCCUGGUCAAGGAACUCGGCAAAUCACUCCCGUGCCUUCGGUAUAAGGGAGACCCCCGGACGUGAAGAGGCUUGCCCUCGGAGCGUUUGGGGGUGGCACAGACCAGGGGGUAGCGACUGUUUACCAAAAACACAGGUGCAUGCGAAGGCGCAAGCCGCUGUAUAUGCACUGACGCCUGCCCGGUGCCGGAAGGUUAAGAGGAUCCGUCAGCCCUCGGGUGAAGCGGUGAAUUCAAGCCCCGGUAAACGGCGGUGGUAACUAUAACCAUCCUAAGGUAGCGAAAUUCCUUGUCGGGUAAGUUCCGACCUGCACGAAUGGCGUAACGACUUCCCCACUGUCUCGACCAGGAGCUCGGCGAAAUUGCAGUACGAGUAAAGAUGCUCGUUAAGCGCAGAAGGACGAAAAGACCCCGGGACCUUUACUAUACCUUGGUAUUGGCGUUAGGCGCGGAUUGUGUAGCAUAGGC